This 87-nucleotide transfer RNA is filed under the name Haloquadratum sp. J07HQX50. RNAcentral describes it as "tRNA-Ser". It matches the Rfam family "tRNA". From Rfam's summary of the family: Transfer RNA (tRNA) molecules are approximately 80 nucleotides in length. Their secondary structure includes four short double-helical elements and three loops (D, anti-codon, and T loops). Lineage: Archaea; Methanobacteriati; Methanobacteriota; Halobacteria; Halobacteriales; Haloferacaceae. The record is from RNAcentral.
GGUGGGAUGGCGGAGUGGACUAACGCGCCUGCCUUGAGAGCAGGUGGCCUUACGGCCUCCUGGGUUCAAAUCCCAGUCCCACCGCCA